AAGUCUCAGUUCGGAUUGAAGGCUGAAAUUCGCCUUCAUGAAGCCGGAAUUGCUAGUAAUGGCAGGUCAGCAUACUGCCGUGAAUACGUUCCCGGGCCUUGUACACACCGCCCGUCACACCAUGAGAGUUGGGAAUACCCGAAGCCUGUGAGCUAACUUUUAGAGGCAGCAGUCGAAGGUAGAAUCAAUGAUUGGGGUGAAGUCGUAACAAGGUAAC
RNAcentral lists this ribosomal RNA (217 nucleotides) under uncultured bacterium. RNAcentral describes it as "partial 16S ribosomal RNA". It matches the Rfam family "Bacterial small subunit ribosomal RNA", at positions 1283 to 1500 of the family's 1533-position model. The record is from RNAcentral.